Molecule: ribosomal RNA, 875 nt
Filed under: uncultured archaeon
Lineage: Archaea
Description: bacterial SSU rRNA
Rfam family: Archaeal small subunit ribosomal RNA
Source: RNAcentral
AGUCACUGCUAUUGGGAUUCGAUUAAGCCAUGCGAGUCGAGAGGGUUCGGCCCUCGGCUGACGGCUCAGUAACACGUGGAUAAUCUGCCCUUAGGUGGAGGAUAAUCUCGGGAAACUGAGGACAAUACUCCAUAGGUUUAGGAGGCUGGAAUGCAUCUAGACUGAAAGCUCCGGCGCCUAAGGAUGAGUCUGCGGACUAUCAGGUAGUAGUCAGGGUAAAGACCUGACUAGCCUACGACGGAUACGGGUUGUGAGAGCAAUAACCCGGAGACGAUAUCUGAGACACGAUAUCGGGCCCUACGGGGCGCAGCAGGCGCGAAAACUUCACACUGUGCGAAAGCACGAUGAGGGAAUCCCAAGUGCUUGCUCGUAAGAGUAAGCUGUUUCUCUGUCUAAAACGCAGAGAGAGUAAGAGCUGGGUAAGACGGGUGCCAGCCGCCGCGGUAAUACCUGCAGCUCAAGUGGUGGCCGCUAUUAUUGGGCCUAAAACGUCCGUAGCCGGUUUAGUAAAUGCCUGGGUAAAUCGUGUAGCUUAACUAUACGAAUUCCGGGUAGACUGCUAAACUUGAGACCGGGAGAAGCCAGAGGUACUCCUAGGGUAGAGGUGAAAUUCUGUAAUCCUAGGGGGACCACCAGUGGCGAAGGCGUCUAGCUAGAACGGGUCUGACGGUGAGGGACGAAACCCUGGGGCGCAAACCGGAUUAGAUACCCGGGUAGUCCAGGGCGUAAACGCUGCUUGCUUGAUGUUAGUUGGGCUCCGAGCCCAAUUAGUGUCGGAGAGAAGUUGUUAAGCAAGCUGCCUGGGAAGUACGGUCGCAAGGCUGAAACUUAAAGGAAUUGGCGGGGGAGCACAGCACGGGUGGAGCGUGCGGUUU